RNAcentral lists this unclassified non-coding RNA (427 nucleotides) under Hevea brasiliensis (rubber tree). Lineage: Eukaryota; Viridiplantae; Streptophyta; Magnoliopsida; Malpighiales; Euphorbiaceae. The record is from RNAcentral.
UUCCAAGAGUAUCACGCUGAUGUUGUUGGUUCUGGUACUGGGUCCGUUAAGGCUCUAAAUGCUCUGCUGUUUGCUUGUAUUUUGGCUAAGAAUUAUGGGGAGGUGAAGAGAAUUUUUCUCGAGUUCCCUAAGUCUUAUAGUAUUGAACCGAAUUUGGAUACUUAUAAUAAGGUUAUCAAGGCAUUUUGUGAGUCUGGGAGUUCCAGUUCUGGUUAUUCCGUUUUAGCAGAGAUGGAUACGAAGCGGGUGAAGCCAAAUGCGACCACUUUUGGAAAUUUGCUUGCUGGGUUUUAUAGAGAGGAGAAGUUUAAAGAUGUAGGGGAAGUAUUGGAAAUGAUGAAGGAGAAAUAUGGAAUUCUCCCUGGGGUUAGUACUUAUAAUAUUAGGAUUCAAAGUUUGUGUAAGCUCAAGAGAUCUGCUGAGGCGA